UUGAUCUCAAAUCAGGUAGGACUACCCGCUGAACUUAAGCAUAUCAAUAAGCGGAGGAAAAGAAACUAACAAGGAUUCCCCUAGUAACUGCGAGUGAAGCGGGAAGAGCUCAAAUUUAAAAUCUGGCGUGCCUCUGGCCGUCCGAGUUGUAGUCUGGAGAAGCGUUUUCCGUGUUGGACCGUGUAUAAGUCUCUUGGAACAGGGCGUCAUAGAGGGUGAGAAUCCCGUCUUUGACACGGACUACCAAUGCUUUGUGAUGCGCUCUCAAAGAGUCGAGUUGUUUGGGAAUGCAGCUCAAAAUGGGUGGUAAAUUCCAUCUAAAGCUAAAUAUAGGCGAGAGACCGAUAGCGAACAAGUACCGUGAGGGAAAGAUGAAAAGCACUUUGGAAAGAGAGUUAAACAGUACGUGAAAUUGCUGAAAGGGAA
This 426-nucleotide ribosomal RNA is filed under the name uncultured fungus. RNAcentral describes it as "eukaryotic LSU rRNA". It matches the Rfam family "Eukaryotic large subunit ribosomal RNA", at positions 1 to 418 of the family's 3401-position model. The record is from RNAcentral. Lineage: Eukaryota; Fungi.